GCGGAAAUGAUGGGCAUAGCUGAUUGCAUUAACAAAAAGUUAGUGUAAGAUCGACUAUGUCGAAUAAAAUUCUAGAUAGAAUUAUGAUAAUGACAUUAUCUAUCUAUGUGUCUUGACCAAAUUACGUGCCAGCAGUCGCGGUAAUACGUAAAAGACUAGUGUUAUUCAUCUUUAAUAGGUUUAAAGGGUACUUAGACGGUAUAUUAAGCCUGAAUAGGGAACUAAUAUACUAGAGUUUGAUGUAAGGAAGCAUGAAAGUACUGUUGGAGUAGAGAUAAAAUUCUAUAAUACCAAUUAUGGCACAGGUUUAGGCGAAAGCAUCUUCUUAUGUAAUAACUGACGUUGAAGGACGAAGGCUUUGUGUCGCGAACAGGAUUAGAUACCCCAGUAGUCUUAGCAGAAAACGAUGAAUGUCAUAGAUUAGAUUUAAUUUACUCUAUAAAUUAAAGUGUAAGCAUUCCACCUCACGAGUAAUUUGGCAACAUUGGAACUGAAAUCAUUAGACCGUUUCUGAAACCAGUAGUGAAGUAUGUUGUUUAAUUAGAUAGCACGCAAAGAACCUUACCACAAUUUGAAUAAGUUCUAUGAUCUUACAAGCGCUGCACGGCUGUCUACAGUUAAUGUCGUGAGAUUUUGGUUAGUUCCAUUAAAUUAACGCAAACCCU
RNAcentral lists this ribosomal RNA (665 nucleotides) under Lecidea lithophila. RNAcentral describes it as "SSU rRNA". It matches the Rfam family "Bacterial small subunit ribosomal RNA", at positions 365 to 1106 of the family's 1533-position model. Lineage: Eukaryota; Fungi; Ascomycota; Lecanoromycetes; Lecideales; Lecideaceae. The record is from RNAcentral.